CGGGCUUACCUCCCCUGGCAGCGCCCACCGGCGCCUGCCUUCCUUUAACUUCCCCGCCUCCGUUACCGUCUCCCCUUUGCCCACCUCCCCCACCCGCUGUGCUCAUCGAUAGGAACGAGCCCGUGUCGAUUUGAUUCGGCUUCGCUUAGUUUUGUUCGAUUUGAUUUAUUGUAACCCGGUAGGAAGGGGAAAAGGAGGGAUCUUUGAUUCGUUGGUGGCUGUUCGUUCGGAUGGUUGGAGGCGGUGCUCGGAUUUGAGAGCUCCGAAUUUCUUGGACGUCCCGUAGGUAAAAAGAUUUUUUUUCUUCUCGGCCGGCGGAUGGACGCGAGGGAGGUGUGAAGCCUGGUCGCUAACUCAUGCUAGUGGAGAGAUUCGGGGGAGAGGAGCGCGCGGUGAGGAGGCGGUGGAGGCGGAAGCGCCGACGAAUUGAUCAGUGCAGCGACGAAAGGGGCUUAGCCGGCGGGCGAGGAGAGCAACGCCAGGUGGACGACGGCCGCCGCCAUGGGCGAGUCGCUGCUCACAGCGCUCUCCAUGGACACCGCCACGGCCCACCACCCGCACCAGGGCCCCUCCACCUUCCUCUCCAUGGACACCGCCUCCCACGACGACUUCGACCCCUUCUUCCCGCCUCUAGGGCCCUUCCGCCGCUGCCUCCAUACAGCGGCAGCCGCCCCCCCUGACAUCAACCUCCCCCUUGCCGCUGACGCCUCUCCGCCACCUCCGGCGCUGCAGCCCACCGCGCUGCACGACUCCAACGUCGACAUGCUAGAUGUCGGCCUCGGCUGCCCGCAGCUCUACGACUCUGAUUCGCCCGCCGCCCCCGGGGCUACCUCGUCCCCGGCAGCUGCCGCGACUACCAUGGUCGCCGUGUCGCACACCAGGGGCUCCAGUUCCAGCGCCGCACGCAAGUGCGUCAAGCGUAACGAUAGCAUCUGGGGCGCCUGGUUCUUCUUCACCCACUACUUCAAGCCGGUCGUGUCGGCCGACACUGGUGACAAGGCAAAGGCAGCCACCGCUGGUGGGACUGGUAAUAGCGCCACACUGGACGCUUUCCUGGUGCAGCACGACAUGGAGAACAUGUACAUGUGGGUGUUUAAGGAGCGGCCGGAGAAUGCCCUGGGGAAGAUGCAACUGAGGAGCUUCAUGAAUGGGCACUCACGCCUUGGCGAGCCACAGUUCCCUUUCAGCGCGGAGAAAGGGUUUGUGCGCUCGCACCGGAUGCAGCGUAAGCACUAUCGUGGGCUCUCAAACCCGCAGUGCCUGCAUGGGAUUGAGAUUGUGAGGGCGCCAAACUUGGCAGGCGUACGUGAUGCUGAUUUGAAGAGGUGGGUGGAGCUCACUGGGAGGGAUGUCAGUUUCUCGAUCCCAACCGAAGCAAGUGACUUUGAGUCAUGGAGGAAUUUGUUGAGCACAGACUUUGAGCUCGAGAGGCCAGCAAGCGCCGCUCCAGCAAAGAGCAGUUCACAUGGGCACCACAAGAAGUUGCUGAAUGGUUCUGGCCUUAACCUCUCGACACAGCCAUCCAAUCAUGGUUCUGGGGAUGGUCUGGACAUCUCAGCCAUUUGCAACAAGCGUAGAAAGGAUUCCUCGCCUGCUGCCAUCGAAGAGGAUUGCAGCAAUUCAAAUUCAGACAAGGUCCAGGACAUGGAUGUGAGCCACGCAUUUGAACCAUCAUGGAUGAAUGACUUCUGUGGUGUGAUGCGCCAUGCUUCUGGGCCAGUAACUGCUGCAAAAACAAUAUAUGAGGAUAGCAAGGGCUACUUGAUCAUCAUUAGCCUUCCUUUCGCUGAUAUACAAAGGGUGAAGGUUUCGUGGAAGAAUACUCUUAAAAAUGGGAUAGUUAAGGUAUCAUGCACUAGCAUCGGUCGGAUGCCAUUCGUGAAAAGACAUGAUCGGACCUUCAAGUUGGUGGAUCCUGCCCCCGAGCAUUGCCCACCCGGAGUGUUUAUCCGGGAAAUCCAACUGCCUACCCGGAUCCCUGAAGAUGCUACUUUGGAAGCAUACCGUGAUGAAACAGGAACAUGUCUAGAGAUUAUUGUCCCUAAAUUCCGUGUUGGUCCUGAAGAACAUGAAGUGCAUGUGUCCAUGAGGCCACCCUCGUCGUGGUGCCAAUGAAAACAUGUUCAAGUUUGCGAGAAGACAUGUCGUGCGAAGGUUCCCUGUUGUUAUCAUAAAGCACAGUACAACAAAUGCAGCUCAGUUUUGCUAAUUGUGACGGGAAACAGCCCUGAUUGAUUGAAGCAUUGUGGUAGUUGGCAAUUGCAGCAUUUGGAACAUUUUUGGAAUAUGCUACAGGUGUUUGGUUCAACCGUCGGGACGCCUAGGGUCACCGCUGGGAACGCAAAGGGUACAGGAUGGGGAAGGGAGGAUGGAUAAGAGAACUAACUGAAGGCCCCACCGUUGCAAGUCCGCCAUCUUGGUUGCUCGUUGUUGAGAUGAGGAGUGAUCCUAAGCUCGCCGGCAUUUGGAGCACAUAGCGGUGACAUGGUUCUAAUGUGAAUUGAGCGCCGGCGAUGCGGAUCCAACCUCCAUGGCACGGUAGCGCUACAAAUCCGGCGAAAAGGGGGGCAUCGACGUAGCAGAUAUGGCAGGAAAGUCACGGUGGCGACGUGGAUCCGGUGAGGUGGAAGCGACAACGGCUUGGAUCCGACAAGAAGGGAGCGAUGGCAGCACAUAUCCGAGGGGGUGGGGGCGGGGAGCGACGACUGUGUCCUCGCUGGCCGCCGACAAUUGAUCCAGUGGAGAGAGAGAUGACCAGACGACUGUUGAUUUAGGGAAAAGUUGGACAAGUGAGAAUAGUGUUCGUCGGGGUGUGGAUGACGGUAUGUUGGGAGUUCGGUAGUUCUUUUUAUUUUUUAUUUUUUCGAUUGUUUGGUAGAUUUCUUUUUUGGCUCACUUUUUUUCUUGCCCAACUCGAAUUUUGGCAUUGCGUCGUAAUAUCUCAGGUUUGAUUGAACUGUUAUUUCUACCAUAACUAUUAACAACACACAA
RNA transcript from Phragmites australis (common reed), 2991 nucleotides. RefSeq lists it as uncharacterized. The record is from RefSeq and is a predicted model, not a curated record. The transcript is spliced from 4 exons. NCBI's taxonomy places the organism in Eukaryota, Viridiplantae, Streptophyta, Magnoliopsida, Poales, Poaceae.